Molecule: ribosomal RNA, 253 nt
Filed under: uncultured bacterium
Lineage: Bacteria
Description: partial 16S ribosomal RNA
Rfam family: Bacterial small subunit ribosomal RNA
Source: RNAcentral
GACGUAGGGCGCGAGCGUUGUCCGGAUUUAUUGGGCGUAAAGAGCUCGUAGGCGGCUUGUCGCGUCGAAUGUGAAAUCUCAGGGCUCAACUCUGACAUUGCAUUCGAUACGGGCAGGCUAGAGUUCGGUAGGGGAGACUGGAAUUCCUGGUGUAGCGGUGAAAUGCGCAGAUAUCAGGAGGAACACCGGUGGCGAAGGCGGAUCUCUGGGCCAUUACUGACGCUGAGGAGCGAAAGCGUGGGGAGCGAACAGG